UUAACCAGGUAACAUCAUUACCACUUCGGGGCCCCUUGUCGAUGGACAUCACCCGAAACCUCUACCUCUGAUGUCUUCCUUCUACAUCAACUGAUCUCCUGAAUCUCGGAGGCCUCUGCCUUUUGAAUCUGACCCAGUAAUGGAAGAAAUCAUUCAUCGUUCAGCAAGAGGAGGAAAGAGGGAAGAGGAAGAAAAAACACAACAAGACCCGGCAACACAAUGGCAUCUCUUGUUAUGUCUCCUGGCUCUCUGGCUGCUCCAAGGAAGGAUAGAGUAACUCUGCUGGUCUGUCUACUGAAAUGGUGCCUGGCUGAUGACUGGGAGGGAUCAGGGCAUGUCUGUGGGGUUUGCCUUUCAUGGGCCUUGAAUGACCCGAGAGAAACUGGAUGUGGCUCUCUCUUGGGCUCCAAGGGGAAAUUUGAGAUAUGUCCCCCUCUACUUUCUCCUUUUACAACUCCCGACUUAAAAAAAAAAUACUGCUCUAUUCACAACGGUAAGAUUACAGGUGUUUCUGUUUGAUUUCCUUCUCAGUCCCCCUCUCCCAGAGUAUUGUCCUACAUUUUCACCUGCUCCCACUGCCAUACAACCUUUCCUGCUCUCACAACAUUUGCAUCAAGUAAUGUUUGCUUUGCUUGUUUCAGAGCAAAACCUUUUCUUUAUGCUUGUUCUGACAGCAAUGGAGGCUAUGUAUUUUGAACAUUAAUUCAUUUUUAAAUAUAUAUUUUUUCACCUUUAUUUAACUAGGCAAGUCAGUCAAUAACAAAUUCUUAUUUACAAUGACGGCCUGCCGGGGAACAGUGGGUUAACUGCCUUGUUCAGGGGCAGAUUUUUACCUUGUCAGCUCAGGGGAUUUGGUCCAGCAACCUUUUGGUUACUGGCUCAACGCUCUAUCCACUAGGCUACCUGCCGCCCCAAAAGAAAGAAAUCAAACAAUAUUUUACUUGUAGACUGUCAAACAUCUACUACUGAAAGUAAUGUUACUUCACAUGAAAGGGCUAAUGUAAUCGGACAAUAUGUAUAUGGUAAAAUAACACAAUACUAAUUUUUAAAUGCUAUGAUAGUGUAUUUACCAGUGCAGGAACAGUGUGAUUUGUGCACAGUGCAUACAGUUUGUACAUAUAGGUAUUUAGGCUUGCCAUAACAAAGUGGUUGAAGAGUUAUUGACUCAAGACAUUUCAGCUUUUAAUUCCACUUUGACAUUAUACAAUAUUGUGUUUAGAUCAGUGACACCAAACCUCAAUUUAAUCAAAUUCAGGCUACAACAACACAACAAAAUCUGUAAAAAGCAAAGGGGUUUGAAUACUUUCUGAAGGCACUUUAGCUGUUGUGUAAUGUAUAAUGUUUGCAUAGAAAUGUCAAUGAGGGCAUUCUACAACGUUGGUGGCAGUUUGCCAAUGUGGCAAUGAUAAAGAAAUAAUAUAGUUAACUGUAUUAUGGUUCAACAGUCAUAAUCUAGUAUGACUAGAAUUGCAAAGGGAGGGUAUAUUUCUGGAAACCUUCACAUUUACCAGUAAACUGCCGGAAUGUUGGGUUCUUUCAACGAUGUUAUGUAAUCUAUUGCAAAACAUGUAGUGGCCCAUUUGGGUACUUCAGAUGUCUGUAAUAAUCUCUGACCCUCUGUGUGACUUUAUCACAUGUAAAAUAUAUGAAAUAAUGAAAUAAGAGAUUUAAAAAUAAAUAAUUCAAUGACAAAGCUGUAAAACAUUAUCCGAAAUAUAAACCAUCAACUUAGUGAACACAAUUGGUGUUUAAUAUGAGGGUUUCAGCAUGAAAUAUCCUUAAGAUUUCUUUUACACACUUUUAUUUAUUUGACUAUGUCAUUAUGUAUUUGUUGUCAAUGUUUGAGCUUCAAAUUGGUGGCAGUUGUUAGUAUAUGGAAGACAGUCAAUAGUUAGAAGAAUUGCAUUAAAAAUAAUGCCAUUGAAAAUAAUGGCAUUGGAAAUAAUGGCAUGGAAUAUAAUGCCAUUGAAUAUAAUGCCAUUGAAAAUAAUGCCAUUGAAAAUAAUGCCAUUGUUGAUCAGAUAAUUAUUAUUAAUUGACCAAUUUUCUCUUGAACUAUAUGGCCUAUUUACUAGAAACUCAUGGACAGAGUGGCAACAGAUAUAUAAAAAAUGAAUACUGUAUAUGAAUACAUUUCUAAAAAAGUUAUUCAAGUAUAAAUUACCAAAGUUACGAUAGAUUUUCUGUUCAUUACCAAAAUUCCUUAAGAUUCCAGUAACUUCAGUAAAUUACCAGUGGCUUUGCAACCCUAACUAUGACAUACUCUGAUAAAUCUAGACAUGACAGUAGUCUGAUUUCUGAAGUCAGUCCAGUUUUUCUGAUAUUCUUGUCACUGUGGUACUCUAGAAUACUAAAUUAUUGACAUCAUACUUUAGCGGUUUGAUGCAGCUGAGGCUUGACUUUGCGAUGGCCCAGUGCCAUACUUUUUAAAACUAACAGCGCAGAUCGCAUAACGUCAAUGAACUUUUGUAAAACCGCAGCCUCUUAAAUGAUAGUUUAGGUUCUUGGAUCAUAAAAAGGAAUGGUUUUGUAGCGUUUGGAUAAUUAUUAACAGUGACUUAGUCUACUGAUGUUGUUGGAGCAAUUAUUGAAUGAAACCAUCAAAAAAAUCUGUCAGGGUUGGUAAACACAGCAGUCAGUAAGUGCUUUUCUGGACCAGUAGCCUCCCCUAUUGACACUGUCCACAUCUGUGUUGCUCUUGUAAAUGAAAUGUUGAUAUUUGGAUGGCCAUCUCCAUCUUACAAGGCAGUUUUGGAUGUCAUAACUCUCUCUAAUACUGCCUGGUAAUGAUGAUGAUGACCCCCUGCAAGCAUCAUAGAGUCAACACAUAACACACAAACACAAUCCCGUUUAGCACUGCAUUUUCUUAGUCCUUGAGCCAGUGUGUAGUAAUAUCGUAUGAGUUGCUGGUAGCUUUGAGUAGUAUUCUAAGGGUUGUCUAGACUUAGAUAUGCUCUGAGUUGGAUAUAGAUAGAUAUAGUUAUGUGCUUUUGAUAUUCACUUUCUCUGGCUUCCAGGACACAUCUUACCUGACAGUGCUCGGCUGUACACAGAUGUUCUAACACUGUCUGGUAAUGAUGUUCCCUGAAAGACCUUCAAACAACCACAUCAAUAAUCCCAACAACCAAUAGGGGUGCAACGACACUGUAGCAUACCUGAAGCAGGAAGCAUUUGCUGUUUGUAAAUAGUUUUUGGUACAUUUUCUGGUCAAUGCUAUAUGUUUAAUAGUGAGGCCCUUGUCAUAGUUCAGCUGUAGACUCCAAAUCAGGUGAUCUCCAGUUUACAGUACAGCACAUGAAAAUAUGGAUGCUGUAGUAGGGUAGUUAUUUUUAAAGGACUACAUAGGUAAAUAAUAAGAUGAUGGAACAACUGGCUGGAGGAAGCAACCAGAACAGGUGGCACACACUAGAGAGUGAAGGCUGACAGAGAUAGUCCCAUAGGAAAAGAGAUUGACGCUGUCUGUGGUGAACACCUUCUGCCUAACCCCCCUUUUGUGAUAGGUAGUUCCUUCCUACCCCCUGCCUUUUGUGUAGAUUUUCCAUCCCACCCAGUAGUUAAAGAAUACCAGUGAAAUUACUGUUGCAGUAGGAGCCACUUCCUCUACCCCUCCCCCAGUCGGAGCUGAGCCUGUGCUUUAGUUGGCUUGUGAUUGGUCCAGCGCUACUGUACCAGCGUGGCAUAUUGUGUAGCUGACACCUGAGAUCUGUGUGAGAAAAAUAAACACAACGAUCUCUAUUGCUCUCCUACUCUCACUCUCUAUUUUCUUUUAUAACUCUCAACCUAUUUAUAACUCUCAACCAAUUGGCCUGUUUUUCUAUUCAACACAAUAUUUUUCAAGAAAAAGUGAAGGGAGACGAGGAACUAGGCGGCUCCCACCUGGUACUCUACCCUGUACCUUAGAGACAGCUGUACAUAGAGUCAUUAAAAACUGGUAACAUUAAUGUUUACAUACGGUUUUACCCACUCUAUAUGUAUAUACUGUAUUUUAGUCAUGGAUCAUCCUAUAUAACUACUGUUGUAUGCAUCUUUUCUAUUCAUAUGCUGUCUGACACACUACAUUAUAUGCAUACUGUAUACAGUACCAGUCAAAAGUUUAGACACACCUACUCAUUCAAGGGUUUUUCUUUAUAUUUACUAUUUUCUACAUUGUAAAAUAAUAAUGAAGACAUCCAAACUAUGAAAUAACACAUACAGAAUCAUUUAGUAACCAAAAAAAUGUUAGUGUUAUUUGAGAUUCUUCAAUGUAGCCACUCACAGGUUUGCACACUCUUGGCAUACUCUCAACCAGCUUCAUGACAGUCACCUGGAAUGCAUUUCAGUUAACAGGUGUUCCUUGUUAAAAGUUAAUUUGUGGAAUUUCUUUACUUCUUAAUGCGUUUGAGACAAUGUUGUGUUGUGACAAGGUAGGGGUGGUAUACAGAAGUUAGCCCUAUUUGGUGAAAGACCAAGUCCAUAUUAUGGCAAGAACAGCUCAAAUAAGCAAAGUAAAACGACAGUCCAUCGUUACUUUAAGACAUGAAGGUCUGUCCAUGCAGAAAAUUUCAAGAACUUUGAAAGUUUCUUCAGGCACAGUCACAAAAACCAUCAAGUGCUAUGAUGAUACUGGCUCUCAUGAGGACCGCCACAGGAAAGGAAGACCAAGAGUUUCCUCUGAUGCAGAGGAUAAAUUCAUUAGAGUUACCAACCUCAGAUUGCAGCCCAAAUAAAUGCUUCACAGAGUUCAAGUAACAGACACAUCUCAACAUCAACUGUUCAGAGGAGACUGCAUGAAUCAGGUCUUCAUGGCGGAAUUGCUGCAAAGAAACCACUACUAAUGGACACCAAUAAUAAUAAGAGACUUGCUUGGGACAAGGAACAUGAGCAAUGGACAUUAGACUGGUGUAAAUCUGUCCUUUGGUCUGAUGAGUGCAAAUAUGAGAUUUUUGUUUCCAACCACAGUGUCUUUGUGAGACGCAGAGUAGGUGAACAGAUGCUCUCUGCAUGUGUGGUUCCCACCGUGAAGCAUGGAGCAGGAGGUGUGGGGGUCUUUGCUGGUGACACUGUCAGUGAUUUAUUUAGAACUCAAGGCACACUUAACCAGCAUGGCUGUUGGAGAAGCAUUCCUCAUGAAGCUGGCUGAGAGAAUGCCAAGAGUGUGCAAAGCUGUCAUCAAUGCAAAGGGUGGCUACUUUGAAUAAUAUAAAAUACUUUUUUUGAUUACUACAUUAUUCCAUGUCUGUUAUUUCCUAGUUUUGAUGUCUUCACUAUUAUUCUACAAUGUAGAAGAUAUAUAAAAAUAAAGAAAAACCUUUGAAUGAGUAGGUGUGUCCAAACUUUUGACUGGUACUGUAUAUAUUUAUAUUCCAGUCUUUGACAUAGAAACUUCUCAUUAUUUCUUAUUUAUUUAUUUUUCUGGAUAAUGUGUAUAUUGUUUUGUUAUUUUGCAUUCUGCUGCACCUACAAUAAUUUCUGCAAAUCUGUGUGUGCGGCCAAUAAACUUUGAUUUGAAAAUGUAUGCACAGAUGACUAAUUCGCUUUGGAUAAAAGAGUCUGCUCGAUGGCAUAAUUAUAAUUUGAAUAAUUUUAUCAGACUGUGUGUUCUCAAACAAUAGGUUGACUGUACAAGUCAAUGGACAACAGAGAUAAAAGCACAAGGUGAUUGAGGUGUUUCAAAGGUGAUGUUUGUCAAGGGCUGUACUUCUGAGUUCUGGUUUAACACACAGAUAUCGAAUCACCCCUUUGCGUACUCAUUCUGCUCUCUGAAAUUGUAGGCCAAUUACAUAAUUCAUUUGCAUGUCCUUUUAAAGUUCAAAUUAUUGAAAGAUUGUGUCAUCUUGCCUUUUGACAUGUUUUGCUCCACUGAUAAACUAUUAACUCUUAUAGAUUUUUACAUUUUUCACCACUGGUACCUUGAUGUAUUUCUAUAAACUAUUCAAAUUCUCCAACAUUUCUGUCUUCUGUCUUCACAGCUUGUCUGUCAUCAAGCUGCUGUAGCUACAAAGACCCUGGCUACUUUCCUCUGAUGCUCCUACCUAAACCUUGUAAUUGUCGUCUUACCAGACAAGUUUAGAUCUAGCUACUCUGUCUAAUACUGUCUGGUAAUGCCGUCCAUUACAAGGUGUCUCAUCGCUCUUUCUCUGUCAGUCUCUUGGACAAUCCUGUACAAAUGAACUGGUAUCGGGUCAUGUGAUGUUUUUUCACCCCUCAAUGAUUUCUCCAGUUACUGGCUUAGAAUGUUUAAUUGCAGGUCCAUUUUUUAGUGGAAUUAUGUAUUUGUAUGUAAAAUGUCUUGAACAGAUAUUUGCUAACAGUAUUUUGUUGAUUAUGUUAAUAAAGGUCAUCAACGUUC
Molecule: long non-coding RNA, 6328 nt
Organism: Oncorhynchus masou masou (cherry salmon)
Lineage: Eukaryota; Metazoa; Chordata; Actinopteri; Salmoniformes; Salmonidae
Exons: 2
Source: RefSeq, a predicted model, not a curated record